RNAcentral lists this ribosomal RNA (339 nucleotides) under uncultured bacterium. Its description in RNAcentral is "partial 16S ribosomal RNA". It matches the Rfam family "Bacterial small subunit ribosomal RNA", at positions 338 to 669 of the family's 1533-position model. The record is from RNAcentral.
CCUACGGGCGGCAGCAGUGGGGAAUAUUGCGCAAUGGGCGAAAGCCUGACGCAGCGACGCCGCGUGAGGGAUGAAGGUCUUCGGAUCGUAAACCUCUGUCAGCAGGGAAGAACGGUCACUGGGCUAAUCAGAAGUGAAGUGACGGUACCUGCAAAGGAAGCACCGGCUAACUCCGUGCCAGCAGCCGCGGUAAGACGGAGGGGGCGAGCGUUAAUCGGAAUAACUGGGCGUAAAGCGCUCGUAGGCGGUAUGGCAAGUCAAGGGUGAAAUCCCCGCGCUCACCGUGGGAACUGCCUUUGAAACUGGCCACCUGGAGUGUGUGAGAGGUUCGUGGACUUC